CCUACGGGAGGCAGCAGUGGGGAAUAUUGAGCAAUGGGCGCAAGCCUGACCCAGCAAUGUCGCGUGAAGGAAGAAGGCUUUCGGGUUGUAAACUUCUUUGACAGGGGAAGAGCAGAAGACGGUACCCUGAAAACAAGCCACGGCUAACUACGUGCCAGCAGCCGCGGUAAUACGUAGGUGGCAAGCGUUGUCCGGAUUUACUGGGUGUAAAGGGCGUGUAGCCGGGAAGGCAAGUCAGAUGUGAAAUCUGGAGGCUCAACCUCCAAAUUGCAUUUGAAACUGUUUUUCUUGAGUACUGGAGAGGCAGACGGAAUUCCUUGUGUAGCGGUGAAAUGCGUAGAUAUAAGGAGGAACACCAGUGGCGAAGGCGGUCUGCUGGACAGCAACUGACGGUGAGGCGCGAAAGCGUGGGGAGCAAACAGGAUUAGAUACCCCAGUAGUC
Molecule: ribosomal RNA, 442 nt
Filed under: uncultured bacterium
Lineage: Bacteria
Description: partial 16S ribosomal RNA
Rfam family: Bacterial small subunit ribosomal RNA
Source: RNAcentral